RNAcentral lists this ribosomal RNA (421 nucleotides) under uncultured eukaryote. RNAcentral's name for it is "bacterial SSU rRNA". It matches the Rfam family "Eukaryotic small subunit ribosomal RNA", at positions 592 to 1018 of the family's 1831-position model. The record is from RNAcentral.
CAAUAGCGUAUAUUAAAGUUGUUGCAGUUAAAAAGCUCGUAGUUGGAUUUCUGGUAGGAGCGACCGGUCCGCCCUGUUAAGGGUGUGUACUAGCGUUGUCUCUGGCCAUCCUUGGGGGAACUGCGCGGGGAGACUUGCGUUAGGGAACCCAUCGUUUACUGUGAAAAAUUAGAGUGUUUAAAGCAGGCUUAUGCCGUUGAAUACAUUAGCAUGGAAUAAUAAGAUAGGACUUUGGUGGUCUAUUUUGUUGGUUUGCACACCAAGGUAAUGAUUAAUAGGGAUAGUUGGGGGUAUUCGUAUUUAAUUGUCAGAGGUGAAAUUCUUGGAUUUAUGAAAGACGAACUACUGCGAAAGCAUUUACCAAAGAUGUUUUCAUUAAUCAAGAACGAAAGUUAGGGGAUCGAAGAUGAUCAGAUACCAU